Molecule: ribosomal RNA, 485 nt
Filed under: uncultured bacterium
Lineage: Bacteria
Description: partial 16S ribosomal RNA
Rfam family: Bacterial small subunit ribosomal RNA
Source: RNAcentral
ACUCAAAUGAAUAGACGGGGACCCGCACAAGCGGUGGAGCAUGUGGUUUAAUUCGACGGUAAGCGAGGAACCUUACCAGGUUUUGACAUUCUUCUGCAAGCGCACGGAAACGUGUGAUCUUCGAGAGUGAAGAACAGGUGCUGCACGGUUGUCGUCAGCUCGUGUCGUGAGAUGUUCCCUUAAGUGGGAGAACGAGCGCAACCCUCAUAAUAUGUUGAUUUUCAUAUUAGACUGCCAGCGUUUAAGCUGGAGGAAGGCGAGGAUGACGUCAAAUCAGCGUGGCUUUUACAAUCUGGGCUACACACGUGCUACAAUGGAUAGGAACAAUGGGACGCAAUACCGUAAGGUGGAGCAAAUCCUCUCAAAAACUAUCCUCAGUUCGGAUUGAGGGCUGCAACUCGCCCUCAUGAAGCUGGAAUCGCUAGUAACCGCAAAUCAGCCUCGUUGCGGUGAAUACGUUCUCGGGUUUUGCACACACCGCCCGU